CUGAGCAGGGGCAAGGACUCGGUUUUACAGACCAAUUUUCUUUUCUUCAUGUAUUCACCGAAUUGCAUUUUUGAAAUUUCUAAGAAUUUAAACUACAUGGGUAGAAAUAUUAAAUGAUUUCUGGACUUUUCUUAAGCAUUCACAAACACACACAGUGUCAAAGAACACAAUUUGCCUCCUCAAGGUGAACUGCUAACUAAGACUGAGUUCUAAAACCCAGUUUCAGAAAGACUACCUUCAGGAACUAAUUCUUAUUAAGUGAAAUAAGUAUUACCCCUUCCAGGAGAGACUGUCCCAGAGACUGAGAAACUCCAGCUGUGGCAGUUUCUUGGAGUAAUGGUUGGUUUCCAGUACCCCACACAGAAACCACCCAGUCUGACUUCAGUGCUGGCACAAACUCUUUCAGUUCAGUAACACUGGAUUAAAGGGACCUGUUGAAUAUGUAUGACCCUUGGACCAUAUUACAUUAGCCAAGAUUGAAGUACUUCACUACAUGACACUGGACCACGAGGGCAAGCUCGUCUUGAAAAAAAGAGACUAUCAAACAUCUUGGUGUGCCUUUAUGGUGUCAAAACAGGCAGAGCCAGAAUUGUCCAUUUUAAUAGGAAAUGGGUUAGAGCACAUGAUAAAACACGACACAGGCUCCUGUGGCAACCUCAUAAGCUUCUGGUUUAGGGCAUAAAGACAUUUAGAAUAUGUUUACUUUUGAGGCGUUAUUGUCUGGUCUGAUCACAGCAUUAAAAAAUAAAUAAAAACCUAACCUCAUAUGAAAAUAGCCGCUGAAGGUGAGGCACAUUCGCUGUGAACAGUGGGAAAUUCCAAAAGAGAAACCACAGAAACUAUCAGUGGGGCCUUUGAGAAAAAAAAAAAUUCAUUUUCUGAACAGCAACAGUCCCUGUCUUAAAAUGUAACAAGAGGAAACCAUAUUAUCUGCUUCAAUCAACCCAUUUUCUUUAUUGCAGAGGCUUGCCGACCAACCAGUCUAAUAGUACAAUGCUUUAUGGGUACCCAAACAAUGAUUGAAUGCACUUAUUCCUUGAUAAGCUCCUGCAGAUGAAGUGUGCACGCUGCAUUAAUUAUUACCAAUGUGGCAGGAAGCAAACGCAAGUCGAGAGUGGCUGGCUUUCAGAGAAAUGAAGGUGGAGAAAUUAUGUCCUCUUUCCUCCCCACUUUCUAUUGAUCUUCUUAGAGCAAUUUCAGAAAAGUUGCAAACCAAUAAUUUACACCCGAUUAAAAAAAAAGAGCUCAAGGAAGAUGGGUAAUAAAAAAAAUGAGAAAAAUAUCUCUAGCUGGACCAUGUUCUAUUAUGAAGGGCACACUGCCCAAAUGGCUGACCAUUUUUCUUGCCUUAUCUGAAGGCUUAAUGCUGGUAAGGAAGAUGAGGAGGAGUCACCCUCUUCCCUUCUGCUAGCUGUCAGGCCUUGCAAUUUAGCAGGCACACCAGUCUUUCAGUUCAGCGAGCUCUGUGCAAGCAGUCUUGGACCACGUAGAGACUUGGACUCUACAAGGAGAUGGAAGCACAACUCCUCUCCCACUCCGUUUGCUCCUACAGUCUACUGUCCAACUCAUUUCGACUUAUUUGGACUUGGAAAGAAACACUUCUCAGUCUGCAAUGAGCCAUUCCAGACACUUGUCAAGUUGGACCAACUACAAGAAGGCUUUCCUCGAUUCAUUGCAACUUCCCAGGUACUCUGUAACCCCCACUGGUUCACAGGUUGACUUUGGCUGUCCUGAGCACCAAGACUAAAGAAUUUUGGGGUGUUGCUUUAGAAAAGACAGCAGCCAUUAACUUUAUGGCAAAUUGUGUGUUUAUUAACAAAUGGUAGAACUUUUUUUUUUCCCCCCUGCCAAUGAUGAAAGCAAGUCUCAACUUGUUAUUUUAGGUGACUGUGAGCUGUGACCCCUUCCCUCACAGCAGAAGGCUCAGGAGAAACAAGCCUGCUUCUUGAGAAAAUACAGCCCUGGUCACACUCUCAAAAGAAAAUGCUUUUGCAGGGUCUCUAUGUGAGUGAUUUCUGGCCACUCAGACUUCACACAGAGAGAAAAAGACCCUCAACACACUCCCCCACCCCCACCUCCACCCUCAAGAGCAAGAACUUGCAGAGCAAUGAGCCUUGCCUAAAAAAGGAAGUAGUUGCUGAAGUUGGACGGAGAACGGUCAUGCAGAAAAUAUGGCUCAAACUGUUGCACUCUGAAGAGGACAGGGAGAGUCCUCUUCAUGAAGCCAUACAGACACAAGGCUUGUUUUAAAGAUUCACAGCGUGAAGCAAAACCUCAGCUAUAAUCCCAAUACUUUCAGGAGGACAAAACUGUGACUUUGAGACCAGCCCAAACUACAAUAAUUAUGAGGCUAGCCAAGGGCUAUGUGGCAAGCUCUCAUCCAAAACAAAAACAAACAACUCAAAUAAAACUGAUUCACCGGUUGCAACAUUAGAAUUCCAAACACUUCAGCGGCACCAUAGGCCCUAAUGGGCUCUGAGCCUACAGGGUACCAUUCACUUUUCUGCUUCAAACCUCUGCAGAUGCUGUGCCUGACAAUGAUGUGAUGCUAUCCAAGGCUGUUUCCUCAGAAGAUGCUGAUUUUUAAAACCUCCCCAUUCUGUGCAUUCUCUAGGAGUUAAAGGAAGCAAGAAAAUGAAAAUCAAUCAGGCUACAGGAUGUAUCAAAAAUGCCUUUUCUCACAUCUUCCUUGCAAACAGGACUCCAGGAUAGAAAAUUCAUUCCCAUCAGAAUGAGACAGGUAACAUGUGUUUCUCAACUUGGUGGAACAACAGACAGCAUCCUGGAGAGCUGCAGUAUUUCAAUCCAGUCACUAAACCACACAUUGGACUUCCUUCGCCUCUGCCUCUCUCUGAUAGCUAUUAGCUAAAGGAUCACAUAAAAAGCAGAAGAGGCCUUGGACAGUUUGCUGUGGUUGGGACCAGAUAUCAGAAGUCUCCAUUCUGUUGGCAUCCUUGAUAGGAUGCUGAGGGACCUUCAGAGAAGGAUAAAGUCCCUGCCUUGUUUCUAGGCUUCCCUGCCUAGAACAACAUUUGGAAAGCAACAAUGACCAAAAAGGAAACAGAACCCAAGGCAAGAAGAACUGGAUGGAUAAGGACACCCAAAUGGUCCAAAUGAGUUUGAAACUCAAAUACCAGACAAGUUGUACCCAGUUCAGAGGACCCUUCCUUGCAGAGCCUUUGAAGAAAGUCUGAUCCAUAAGAGUUGGGCUAGAAGAAAGGCAUGUUUUGAAGCCGGGUUGGGGUGAGUGGAGUAGAGGAUCUCUCUAACAGCUACAAGCUGAUUCCAGAGAUAAUAAAUGAGACAGAUUAUAAGGGAAUGAGCCUGGUGAUGCCUGGGUGCCAGCCUCGCCUCCAUAAAAAGGAAAAAGCCAGAUAAAUACCAGUCACUUCUUUCCAGGUAAAAACUACACAGAGGGGGCAUAGUAAAAGUGGAGCAGACAAGAGGGACCUCAGCAAAGAAUUCUGGACAUGAUUAUUAUGACCAUAAGGCAAAAACCAGUACUAGAUCAACUGGCUGACUGGCAGUCAUGUAUUAGUUAGAGGAAAAAAAAUUAUUUCUUGGUCUUACCUCAGUAAUCUUUGACCAACAACAAAAGUAUUCUUAUCAAAACUGUCCCUGGAGACUGGAGAGAUGUUUCAGUGGUAAAGAACAGUGGUUGCUUUUCCAGAGACCCUGGGUUCAAUUCCCAGCAUCCACAUGGCAACUCAACACUCCAGUUCCAGAGGAUUGGACACCCUCAUAAAGACAUAUAUGCAGGCAAAACACCAGUGCACAUAAAAUGAAAAAUAAGGAUAAAUAAAUCAUCUUUAAAAAAAAAAACUGUCCCUGUACAGCCAGUCGAAGCAAACUUUGCUUUAUUUGCAGGAAGUAAGCUGUCUGCCCUUUCUGAAACAAAAAGCUUGGAAGCUUGGAUUACCAGCUGGGUGGGGUAAAUAAUAUAGUAGAUGGAAAGCUGUGGAUUUCAAAGGAGCUGAAUAGCUUGGCACAAAAGGCCAUGCAAUUUCAGUCUCACAGUGAUAAAAACAUAGAAUUUUGGCAAGAAGUUUUUGUUUUUUUAAAGUAUCGUAGAGACCCAGCCUCGUAGAGGAACAUGCGAUGUGGUUAUAGAAAUUAAAAUCCAGGCAAAUUCAACAGCAUUAAAGUGUGACUAAGGCACAGGUAAAAAUGGAAGCCUAGGCUGUGUGAGCAGAGUAAUAGGGUGAUAUUGGCUUCGGGCAGACGAGUGUGAGGUCCAGACCACACACAUGGUAAAGCCAUAAGAAAUCAGUGGGACGUGUGGAGGGGAGAAGGUAACGACUCUAGUAAGACCCGGGUGAGGGAAUUGAUGAGCAACAUCUCCAGAGAAGCGUGGUCUAUACCUUCAAGUAACAGGAAGACCCCAGAAAGAGUUCUGAGUGGUCCAAAGAGCGGAAGCAGGGCUUUCAUGAGGAAGUCCUUGCCAAUAGCUUGUAGAGGCUACGGAAGGUAGGGAGUUCUCCAUACAGGGGCCUCUCAGGAUGAUGAGACAGUGCUUCCUGAGGUGGGGCCCAGCCAUUCCCUUGCUGUCCCAGAUUGGGAUGCUGUUAAUUUGACUGAAGGUGCAGCAAAUGAUCAUCCUUUGCUUCUGAGGCAGAGACCCAGGCAGAGCUGCCAGCCAGAGAACUCCUCCUAGCCAUUAAACCACGCAGAAAUCUCAAUAAAUCCAGCUAAUGAGAUGAGGGGUCACAGGGACCUUUCAUCUUCAGAGCUUGGGCGUUUUCACACCAAUUAUGGCUUUUAAUCUUCGCAAUACUCCCACUAGGUGGGGAGAGGGGCGAGUUUCAUUUUACCCAUGUGGUAACUUGAGAAGACUUAGGCUGAAGUUCUUUCAUCCUGAGGUAUGGGAUUGGUAACCUAGUUAUCUACCAGUUUGCUGUCACGUUCAAUCCUUCUCCAGGACCCUAUCCUGGGUACAGAGCAUGGGAGAACACAAACCAAGGACUGGGUUGGAUGUGCAAUUCUGGAGCAGGCAGAACCCACUUAGGGAGCCAAGAAGAGCUCUCUAAAGCAACGGAGGAGGAGUCUUGCUGUUGAUGAUUGACCAAUGAAAGGUAGUUUCUAGGACCUUUGCCUUACUUUGCCUCAGUUUCCCCAAUGAUGUGAGUGACUGAUGGUUCCUUGGGAUAGAAAACAGAUCCAAAAAGGCUUUUAAGAUCACUUGAAAAUACUCAGAAUUUAUGGAUCCUCAGGUAUGCCUUAAAUUAGAUUGAUAAAAGUCUCUGACUAAUGCAUAUGAUCUAUAAAGGAAGUAUUAAGCCUUCCUUGUCUGUAUGCCAAGAGGCUUAGGAAACAAGAUACAAGCACUUUCUAAAUUUAGAUGUCUGAAGUUCAAAUCCCAGCUGAACUUAUGAUGAGCUGUGUGACCUUGAACAAGUUGGUCAACAGCUCUGUGCCUGUUUUUCUUAUCUAUAACAGAAAUCAUGAGUAUGCCCUCCCUCAAAUGGUAGCUGUGGGAACUAGAGCAGUUGACGCUGGAGUGCCUGGCCCCUUGGGGGUGCUUCUCAUUCACUCCCAUUGUCACUGCACUGUGUGUGGAAAGCAGGCCCACGCUGGCUGGCUGAAAUUAAUUUAAUUCUGUAUCAUUCCCUUGCUAUAAGGCCUGAUUGUUGAAAGUAAGAGAUCACUGAUUUGUGAAAUACACAUAAAGCCAAAAUUUACUCUCUAAAAAAAAAAUAAUAAUAACCAUUUCUCCCAAAUGAGCCUUUAACUCUGGAACUGCUAACAAUCCAUAAAUAUCUCUUCCCAAGAGUUUUAUCAAAUAUGGCGAGGAUUUAGAUGUCACAUUCUAAAGGAAGUUCAAGAGAACCCAUUGGGGGCCUAGUGUGAUGGCUGAUGCGGUAAAGAUGUCUGCAGUCAAACCUGAUGACCAGGGAUUGAUCCUCAGGGCUGCCCCUGGUGGAAGGAAAGAGCUGACUCAAACAAACUGUCCUCCGACAGCCACCUGCCUGGCCCGCGUCCUCACAGAAUGAAUACAAGAACACAAAAAGGUACGUUCACAUGCCCCAUAGGGUAUCCCGGCAGCUUAGACUGUGGUCCUGGAAGAUGAGGAAAGACAUUGUAGUGUCUGUGUAACCAACUGUGCUCUGGGAUGGGAAGAACAGAAAAAGGCUCAGGAAGAGGUGGGAGCUCCCAAAAGAUGCCACCGGCCGGAGGAAAGCCAGUCAGCAGCCUGUGAAGAGCAGCAUUAGGAGACACAGAGAGGAAGUGAGCAAGAGGGAGAGGGUACACACACCUCUCAGUGUGGAGGCAGCUUCCUGACAGGCGAGAGCUGGGGUCUCGGUCCAGCACAGUCGGGUGGUGGUAAGGAAACACCCUCUGCUCUGGAAGUCGUCCUGUGCAUUUGGGUGUUUCUUUAAUAUUUACUUCACUUUUUUUCCAGAAAAAAGAAUCUUUAGAUAAUAAAGCCUAGCAAAUGUGUUAAGGUUUCCAACCUAAAGUUAUCUAUGCACCUAUGACUUUGUUUAGAACUGCAGGCUCUGCCAUGGCUGGUUAGCAUUGUUAAAAACCCCAGGGACUGACAGGUUGGUCUCCUCCCUUGAGACAGAGUCUGAAGACAUCAGAAGUCACAAUUUGGUGGCUCUGGGACAUGUGUUUCUGAAAUUCAUGGUGUCUGUUAGCUUGAUGGCUAAGAGCUCCAUACUGGUCAAAUCUAGUGCUGUCACUUUCUGCCCUUGACAUGUUGGGUGACUUAUAUAACUUCUCUAGGCCUCCAUGGUGUCCUGUUCAAUAGAGGAUUCUAUUGGCCUGUCUCUGAGGAAGCUGAUUGGAUAUGGGAGCUGACCUGUGUAAAGGUUGAGUAGGGCUCAAACUUAAACACUAAGUAUUUUGUAAAGAUGAGUUUGAACGUGCAGAGUUGCAUCCUGAAGCACAGAAAGGCCUCAGAAGUGUCCUGUAUUUCAGGCUCUGACGCCACCCUCACCUGUUUUCCUUACACUCUGCUGGCCUGCCAUGACCCCCCAUAUGCUAUCUCCAUCCAGGGCCUCCCCACAGGACCCUGGGACAGGAAUCAGCAAACCUCUUGGGAAAGACUGGAGCGAAAAGAUCUCAGGUUUUGAAGGCCACAUAGUCCCUGUUGCAUGCCCUGGCUCUGUCUUUACACAAUAAAUUGAGGGUAAGACUUUUUUGUCAGUCAUAGCUUGCUGACUUCCCCUUUUACAUCUAACUGCCGAGUAGACAUUACCAAACACUGAACUGCGUGAAGCUCAAAGCUGUAAGAUUAGACAUUUCUUUUAACCUCCAGGCAUCUAUCAACACAGAGUCAGUUCUCACACACCCAGAACAACCACUGCAGCUUCACCCAUGUUCCCUCGUUAGCACCCCACACUGAGCCACGCAGCCUACCGACUCCAGCUCUAGGGAAUCUCUCAUACUCUGUUCCUGGUGUUUUGAGUGCAAAGAACACAUUUGUUAUAGCCAUUGCUUCGUCCUGUGGCCUAGUUUUCUAUCUGGCAGACGGAAGGAGUUAUAAAAAUGUUUGUAGAAUGAAUGAGUGAAGGAAACAAUGAGAGAAUGAAAGAAAGAGAGAAAGGAAAAAAGAAAGGAAGAAAUAAAGGAAGAAAGAGAGAAAAUAUAAACACCUUAAGGCAGGAAGUGCUUCAAACGUAGUGUGUGUGUGUGUGUGUGUGUGUGUGUGUGUGUGUGUGUGGGGCAGGGAGAGAGAAAGACACAGAGACAGACAGACAGACAGAGACAGAGAGACCCAGAGACUUUUAAAAUCCUAAUUCCUCAGGUUUACAGUGAACCUCAGUCCUUGCUGGCCCAUGGCAUAUCCUGGAGUAGCAAGAACCCGAGAAGCACACCGGCCUCAGGGCUCAGGCCUGCAUAGAUUUCUUCCCCAAUUGCUUGUGUUGCACCUGUUGUUUUCCUCCCUCAGUCAUUUCAUUACAUCUCCUUACACCUAGUCAAAACUCCAAACAAAAUUAAUACAACAGCACCAAAUGACUUAGAUUUCCUGGGGUUUGUACACAUCUUUUUUAAGUUUGUACACAUCUUAAACGAUCUCUUUCCCUACUGGCUGCUGCCUCUUGGUCCCUCCUAAUAGAAUUUAACGUAACUGUUUCCCUUCUGUGCAGCAUCCCGGGGAGGCUCUGCCAGGGCGAGCCUUUCUUACCAGGAUGUGUAACUUAUCUUGAUUGCACAAAAGUCUUAAACAAGUUAUGAUUGUUCAGAAAUUCAAAAGAACAGCCCGUUUUCCCAGAACUCCAGUACAAUGAUUAAAUAGCAACCUGUUUCUGGCUACCUCACACCUCCUUUACAGCAACAAAAUCCUUUUUUUAUCAGUAGAAUAAAUAAUUGCUUUCAGGGUUCCAGGGGCUGUGUGACGCUGCCCUCUGCAAAGGGAAGACUGUGCCUCAGUUAUCUGAAGGGAGGCACCGCCCGCUAAAGCUCAAUGAGAUGCUUUGGCAAGUUAAAAAUGUGACUCUUAAUGUUUUGUUUCCAAAAAAAUCAUAUUUCUUUGCAGAAAUUCUGUAGUGCAGCUAGCAUCUCGAUCGAGCAGGGGAGGCCGCUCCGGCUGCACUUAUUCUGCCUAGAAAUGGGCUAUUAGUGUGGAGAUACCAGGGGUCUGCAGCAGGCAGGCUAAUUUACACACAGAAUCUCAGCAUUUUGGAUAAUUACAUUUCCUCUGACAAUUUCUAAAGAAUCUGCAUGAUAUUGGAUUGUGUCAGGAAAUAGGUGUCACGGUGAAUGUGCGAUUCUGACUGGGCUUUUUUCACUAGGAAAUUGUAGGAAAGUGUAGUGUAAUCAACUCAUAGAAAUUACCCUCCAUAUACUUAGCUUCACUGAGAAGAAUCAAAUUGCUUUACCUGAAAUUACAGGGUGGGGUGGGAGACAACCAAAAAUCCAGUCAGGAUGGGAUGCCGUUUUUACAACUGGUAAACAAGUUAGAUCUAUCCUUAUUAUGCAACACACAUGUAUGGAAAAAUUCCUGUGUAUCCAGAAUAUCUAGAAUCUCAAUGGAAAAUGCAUUUAAUAGACAUUCUUUCAUAUCUACAAGACACUAGCUGUAGGAUCUUGGCUAUAAAAAUCCUUGGCUGCUCAAGUCACUUAGGUUAAACAGCAUAACCUAUAUAUAAUCUACACAUAUUCUCCUGUGUCCUUUAAAACAUAUCACCUCCAGAUGUCUUACUACAGCAGACACAAUGUAAAUGGCAUGUAAAUGGUGCCCAGACUCCAGUGUUUAGGGACUAAUGACAAGGGGAAAAGGCCACUGCACUUUCAGUACAGACACAAUUUAAAACACAAUGUUAGGCCUCAGGCAAGCCCACAAAUGGUACUCAAGGAUUUGGACAACCAGCUGUAACUGGCUUCAUGCUGGCCACCCUGGAGGACUUCCAGGUCCCAAGCAAAGCUCAUGAGGGCUAAUCCGCAUGACUGACAGCUGAGUGCUGGACUCAGAGGAGGGAAUACUUUUGAAGCCCACUCGAUUUGUGGCAAAGUGAAGCCUGGAACCAGUGUGCCCCUCGCCCCAGACAAAUGGCCUUUCUCUAAGGACUGAGUGGCAGUUAACACCAGCUCCUGAGUUGUCCAAUUCUUAGAAAUCUCUCAGUUCACAUAUGAAGCCGCAUCUUAACAGUCCAGUGUACUCCAGGGCCCCUUGCUGCUCUGCUGACCAGAGUUCUCACAGCUCUUCAGAGCCACCUGUGGUUAGCAACAGGUAAGAUUCCCAGGGGAAGCAACCCCCACGCCCAUCACCAAAACCAGUGUUGAGUAAAAAGUCGAUCACGAAGAAACAUUUGUCAAACGAAAGACAAAGCAUCGUGUGUGAUAACCCUUAGAUGUGUCAGAAUCUUCCUUUCUGUAUCUUCUAUUUGACAUUUUUUUUUCCUAGAACUUCUGGUGUGCCAGACAUUUACCCAGCUGAGGUGAGCCUCAGAAUAAUACAUUGAUUUUAUUCAUUCAGUGAACUUAAUGCAAGGUGAUCCCAUUACUGUAACCUCUUAAUGCAAUGUCAUCUCUUAUCAGCUUAAUUGUGCAGCCUGUACCUGUAUGUCACUCCCUGCAGAACUGAGUUUCACCUUCAACCCUGGGUCAAAACUCUUAUGAUUCAGCAAUCCGCUUUCUAGGAUCAUACAGGGGGAAACUGCGAUCUUUGCACCUGCCUGCCUGAGCCGAAACAGCUAAUCAAAAUGAGCAGCCUGAACAAGCGAUUUUGACAUAUUCUCUCUCCUGGCUAUAACCAUCAUGAAGAACUGCAUUCACGAUCCGGACAGGGUCCCUGUACCUGAGCCACACACACACUGGAAGGCAUCUUCUUUGUUUCUUAGGAGAUACAAGUAACAUGCUCGAAUACACAGCUUCAUCUCGCCCAAACCUAGUAAGAAUCCUAACCUCACAAGACGCCGGGAGCCUGAACGGUAUCUGCACGAUGGAGUACUAGAUUACAGUGGGCUUCUGCGUCAAGCAGGCUGCACUUUCACACGAAUCUGUUCUAAGAGUGUGGUGACACUUGGCACUUCUUUUCCCACAUGAGGGCACAAAGUUGAUUUAAUCGGGUGAUACUUAAUUGGAGGGAAGCUUGAACACUUUAUGAGACACCAGAAACCUAGAGGACAGUAAAGUAUUAAUUACCCACCCAUCAAUGGGAGCAGAAGUAAUUAAAACAAUUAUUCCUAGCUCGCUUCAGAUCCCCCUUUCCCUCCCCGGCUCACCUGAAGUGGAGAGUAUCUUGAACACGCCCUCCCUCCCGGCUGGGAAAAAUCCCACUGCUUGAAAUUCCCGAUGAAUUGCUCUUUUAUGCAUACCUUAUAAUCCAGAUCAUCCCAACAUCCCCACUGGGACUUAAACCAGUCUUUAUUAUCCUUCUUUGUCCUGGGCACAAAUGUAUCAUAUGUAGUACUGGAGAAAUACUUGUUGACCAAGAUUCCUUUGAAAUUUUUGUUGUUGUUUUUGAAUUCUUUGACAUUUUUGUUGUUGACUAUGACGUACCUUUAUGAUUCCUCUUCCAAUAUCAACUAUGUCAAAUUGUAUUUAUAACUGUGAGUAAAGGCAUGCGACCUAAAUCUCCCAUUAUGGCCACCUUUAGGUAUGGAACUUUACAGCUUUAGGUCCACCCAUUCUUUGUUUCUUAAGAAAUACAAGUUGUUGGGCUAGAGAGAUGGCUCAGCAGUUCAGAGCACCAACUGCUCUUCCAAAGGUCGUGAGUUCAAAUCCCAGCAUCCACAUGAUGGGGUGUCUGAAGACAGCUACAGUGUACUUACAUAUAACAAAUAAAUAAAUCUUUUUUUUUUUUUAAAAAAAAAAAAAGAAAGAAAUACAAGUUGUUGAACAAUCUCUAGCACUUUGGCCAUCCCCUAGGCAGUCAAUCACUGAAAUCCACAGUCUGUUUCUUGCCUCGAUACACACAUGUGUAAACAGAAUCCUGCAAUGUUGUCCUCCUUGACUGGUUUAAUUGCUUUAGUAUGAUGCCCUCAGAGUUCAUGUAUGUUGUACAAUGUGCUGGAAUCUCCCUCCUUUAUAAGUCGGAAUAUUCCUGCUUGUACAGCCCACUUUUUCUCCCACCCAUGCAUGUUCCAGUGGUUACACUGAGCAAUUCAGCUCUGGGCACCAUGAAGGGCAGUGCUAUGAGCAUGAACACACAAGUGGCUCUGUGAGAACUUGUCUUCCAUGCUUCAUGUCAGGUUAGAAGCCCACAGGUGGAACUGCUGAACCACACAGUCCCCAUGUCAUAUUAAUAUGGAGACUGUUGGCUGCUAAUGACAGAAAUGUGAGGGUUGUUUUUCUUGUUUUGUUUGCUUAUGAUUAGAAGAACACUUUAGGCAGAAGGACUUUAUAAUCAAAUAGGAAUGGCAGUCCUUGGACAGACCCUGAGUCUGAGGCUCUGAGGGGCUCUUACGCUGUGGGCAGUUUCUAAAGAUAGACAUACUUCAUGGUGAAUUAGGCCCCAUGAACUGCAGUAAGAUCCAUCACUAGUAAAAAGUAACAGAAGUUAUGAAAUAAAGAGCAAGAAAGGAAAAGAGAGAGAAAAAGGCCCUGGAUGUCAUGAAGAUCUUUGCCUAGAGAAGCAGUGUAGGAAGCGAGGGCACUGGGUCCUAGGAAGCUUAGUUUCAGCUUCUCAGCCUAGCUGCUCAGUGGGAUCUUGAGGACACCACCUCUCUAUACUAACUACAGUCCACCCCUUCUGUCUGUGUGGAAGCAUGUGUGUUCUUGGAGAGGGACCCUAACAUCAGCCCAAUGCGAGUAUGUUCAGUGAUUCAGAAUGUCUGACUGCAAACGAUGGAAGAACGGAGGAGACGGGGCUGACUCUGUUGCAGAACAGCGUUAGACAGAAAGAAUAUCCUUAAAAGACAAUGCCUGGGGAUCUGAGGAGAGUGACUGCCCAACGUGGGAGGAACUGCUCACAAAUGCAGAGGCUUUCUAUAGCUGUGCUGUGGCCACCAGAAUGUAGUGUGAGAUGUAAGGAACCAUGGCUUCAGUUCUCGAAGCCUGGAGAGUGGGGAGGUAUUUAUACGCCAGCAUUUUUGCAAGUAUAAUAGGUUACUUCGGUCCCUGUAAGAGUCUACUUGUGUUCAAAUAAUCCCAUUAUUUGGGAAUGAUCUGGGUUUCCUAAUACCUCAAUUUCAUUUUAACAAAUGAAAACCUAAGAAAAUGCAUUUCUCAAACGGAACAAACGAGUUUCAUCUCGUUCCAUGUUGGAGUGGGAUAGCCGCCUGUUGUAGAAGUCUAUGAAUUUCUAUGUGACCUUAGAUAAUUCACUUUUCAGAAUCUCUGCUUGUUAUUAAUAAAAAUGAUGCCUACACUGCAA
Molecule: long non-coding RNA, 12763 nt
Organism: Mus musculus (house mouse)
Lineage: Eukaryota; Metazoa; Chordata; Mammalia; Rodentia; Muridae
Product: RIKEN cDNA 9530036M11 gene
Exons: 3
Source: RefSeq, a predicted model, not a curated record